GAUGAACGCUGGCGGCGUGCCUAAUACAUGCAAGUCGAGCGAACGGACGAGAAGCUUGCUUCUCUGAUGUUAGCGGCGGACGGGUGAGUAACACGUGGAUAACCUACCUAUAAGACUGGUAUAACUUCGGGAAACCGGAGCUAAUACCGGAUAAUAUUUUGAACCGCAUGGUUCAAAAGUGAAAGACGGUCUUGCUGUCACUUAUAGCUGCAUCCGCGCUGCAUUAGCUAGUUGGUAAGGUAACGGCCUACCAAGGCAACGAUGCAUAGCCGACCUGAGAGGGUGAUAGGCCACACUGGAACUGAGACACGGUCCAGACUCCUACGGGAGGCAGCAGUAGGGAAUCUUCCGCAAUGGGCGAAAGCCUGACGGAGCAACGCCGCGUGAGUGAUGAAGGUCUUCGGAGCGUAAAACUCUGUUAUGAGGGAAGAACAUAUGUGUAAGUAACUGUGCACAUCUUGACGGUACCUAAUCAGAAAGCCACGGCUAACUACGUG
RNAcentral lists this ribosomal RNA (497 nucleotides) under uncultured bacterium. RNAcentral describes it as "partial 16S ribosomal RNA". It matches the Rfam family "Bacterial small subunit ribosomal RNA", at positions 28 to 507 of the family's 1533-position model. The record is from RNAcentral.